AGCACAAAGAUGAUAGAUGAGAGAUAUGGGACGAGGAUUCAUGCCGCCGAGCAGAGCCAACAUGCCUGAAGUGCGAAACCCGCCACUAGAGAGGUAAUCAUAGCAACCUUGUCUCAUUGCCUCUUUUGCUUCGUCCGUCGAUGCCGUUAGCACUUGAGAAAAUGCAUUUCCUAGUGUGUUAACCGUCGCUGACAUUGGCUUCACCAUGAUAAAAUAAUGUAUUUUUAAUAUCAAAACUUAGCUUUUAAGGUUGUUAAUAUGUUUUGAAUUAGUAUGUGACAUAUGCUCACCUUGCGGAUAUCAUAAAAGGACUUGAUAACUUCUGAGACUUUGUUUGCAUCGCCGAGGUUUCUUAAUGGCUGGAGAAGACCGCGUAGAAUGAGAACGUCGGACAGUACAACCAUCAUUCCAGAUGCGAUUGCUGGAUGACGCAUGUUGAAUGCAUCUCCCAAUACAAACACUCCUUUCUUCUCGCUCAAAGUAGCUGACAUGCUCUUUGUUGGCACAGCUUUUAUGUUUGCUCCUUCAUCGAUCCCUUUCAAAAGUAUUUUGCGGAGUUUUGAAGGUACCUAGAAAAUAAUUGUUAAAAGAUUUUAGAUGUAUAUUAUCUUCAUGGACUUCUUUAAAAUGUUAGAAUAUGUGACUUUAUCUAUGUACAUCAACCUAUGUUUGAAAAACAAAAAUUAUUAUUGAAUUAAGAUUAAUCAGUCCGAUGUGUACCUGAGGAGCAAUAGUGUUCCUCACGAAGGUAGCCAUGUCCCCCUUUGAAAUAGAAGGAACAUUGUCGGGGAAAAGCUCAAAAACACAACGAACGUCGGUGCUGCCGACAUGAUACAACAUGGUGAAGGAGGGUUUAGACAUUAUCAAGUUUACUUUGUCGGGCUCUUCAAGCUGACAGUUCUUUAUAAUGUAACCAACUUGGUAUGAGCGAACCUCCGCCUACAUCAAGUUAGUAUAUUGAUGCUUAUUAACUAAUAGUAACAUCACUUCUAAGUGUGUAUAUAUAUAGAGAGACUUUACAAAUAAAAGAGCAUAUAUACUCACAUUGUUGUCGUUAAGUGACCGACGAAGAUUUGAGUAGCAGCCGUCGCAUACCACAGUCAGAGGUGCAAGGGCUGUUGUUUCUUCGCCUGCGCUAUUUUUGUAUGUCACUCCUUUGAUAACUCCUUUGUCUUCUAUCAAAGACUUCACCGUUCCUUCUUCGAGCCGCACACUACCAAUCAAUCAAUGUUUGGUGUAAAGAUUAACCAUUAAUUGUUAUUGCCGAGCUUACUUGUUUGUUGUGUCUAAUGUUCAAAAGUUUAUAAAGUGUUUAACUGAAAGAUUUUUUUCUUCUUAUUAUUGCUUCAUGUUUAUUCAUCAAUAUGCCAUUUUUCCCGACCAAAAAAUUAUAUUUAUCCAUCAAUAUAUUAAAAAGUAUCAUGUAAAUAUAUCUAUUUAAUAAUAGAUUUUUUUCAUUAUUUAAUAAAUAUAUUUAUGGGGUCGACCAAAAUUAAUCAUUUCGUUGCAAAUAUUAGUAUUUAGAAAGAAAAAAACAUUAUCCUGAAAACUCAGUUGGAUUUCACAAAAUUUAUAGAAAAUAAUAUAUCUUAUCAAAACUUAUUAACCAUCAUCUCUAUGUUAAUUGGCAAUAAAGUUACUAUUUUAUCGUAUAAUCAGUUACCAAUAUAGAUAUAAUUUCUACAUAUGUAUAUCAAAUUCCUUAUUUCCCAUCUCAAACAAAUAGAUAACAUUAAAUAUAGAGUGGUUUCAUGUUUUUAAUUUUAUAAUUCAGGGACGUACUUGGGAAGAGAAGAAGCCUUUUGGCGCAGUCGUUGGACGAAUCGGCCAUUGUAGAAAGAUCGAGCAGAAGGUUCAUAAAGAAAGUUGUUGUUUUCCACCGGAUAAGAUGCGUUCGUUUCUUUUCCAUCCUUAUAAAGUGUCAUGCCCGUAGCAAUCUGUGCAUCUAUUCCCUCCAAACAAUCUAUACAUAUAUAGACGCACACAAUUUGAUCAUUAUACUAAAACACAAUCUGAAAUUUUAAAAAAAAAAUCAAUUAGAUAAAUGAACUACUGAAACAUAGACAAACCUUCAAGGCCAAGUUUAGAAAGCAUGAGUCGUCCUCCUGGUUGCAUAUAUUCACCCAUCAUUCUCUCUGGUUCUCUCAUGUCCCUCUCUAUUACAUGUACUCGACGCCCGUCCUAUAUAUAAUCGAAAAUUAUUUAGCGUUAUGUAAUAGACUAUAAACUUCCAACUUAAAACCAAUUGACCAUUAGUAGUUAGAAAUAUAUCUUAUAUACUAGUCAUGAUGCAGUCCAACUUUCGAUGUAGGAUAUUUGUGUUUUAUGUCCGAACCCGAAAUUAUUGCAAUAGAAAUAUAUUAGACAAAACAACAACAAUCAUAUAUUGUGUAUGUACAGUUAUUAUCUUAGCAUUCAUACAAAAAAAACGACAAUCAAGUUAAUUACCUUUGCAAGAGCAUAUGCAAGAGCCGAGCCGCCAACUCCAGCCCCAACGAUGAUAACAUCAGUAGCACCGUCCUUACGCUCUUCCACCACCGUCUCGGCUAACUUCGUCCCCUUGUUUUUCCUGUUUGUGAAGUAGAAGACGGUCCAUGUCAGCACGAAGGCGAGUAGCGUCCAUACAGAAACGUGUGUGAAAGCCAUGUCCAUAUCUAUUAGUUCUCAAUAUGUGGUUUAUGAGAAAAUUGAGAAAAUACGAGUAACAUAUAUAUAAUGCAAAGAUAUGUGAGUUUGAACGUAGUAUCACCACAUGCUAAAAUAUCAUAAUAAUUUUAGAAAGCAAUAAAUUGAUCUUUUAUGUUGUCCACAUAUUUCGUUAUCAUUUACGAGCGACGACAUACACAAAGUUACAAACGAUAUUUCAUUGUUAGAUACAGACAAAAUAUAUAGUACUGUCCACCCAAGUUCAUGAAUAUGUUUCUAUUUAGAAACAAUAAAAUAAAAAGUACUACUCAAAUUAUUUAUACUCUUAAAUGAUGAUUUAAGUUAGUCUAUAGGCGUUAAGCUAAAGCUGGCCACUGAUUUUGAUUAUGGAGACGUACCGAAUUGGAUUCUUAGGUACGUAUCUAUCUAAUCUAACUCUACUUAUACUUCCAUUUUAAAUAUAUUCAACCAAUUUAUUAUGCGACACAAAUCAAUUUUUCAUUACUGACGCUGCUUUUUUUUCUUUUUCUUUUACCUCUAAAAAAGAUGAUGUUUACAGAGAACCUAGAGGUUACGUACAUACUUAUAUGAUUAUGACUUUUAUGGGGUCAAUAGUUUUAAACACGAAUUUAAAGAUAGAAGACAACUUAGAAAAUACACAAGUUAUUAUUUUUUAAUAUAGUUUUAUCAAUAUACGAAAAUGACAAUGAAUACCUAUUCGAGUGACCAGCGAAAUGCUACGUACUACAAUUAGGUAACUAACGUUUCUCUUUAACCAAAAAAGAAAAAAACAAAAAAAACCCAACGUUUCUCAUGCUUAUAUAAUAACCACAAAAAACAUGUUGCUUGACGUCGAUACUAAACCGAUUUAAACCAAACAGCAUCACUUUCAAAACCGUCGUAAUAAGGUGUGAGCGACGUUUACUUUAUACAUCUUUUCAAAAAUCAUCAAAGGAAAAAGUAUAAAUAGUGAAAUGAUCAGUCUAGAUGAAAUUGCAAUCGGUUUACAAAACGACGGCAAAUUUCAUGUUUUCAAAGAAAUUUAAAUCGGUUAAUUUAGAUUGUGACGUAGAUAUAUAUAAACGUAUCUCAGCGUAUUCUUUUGUAGUAUAACGAUAAUUAAUAAAGUUCAUAAUACUUCAUAAUCACAUUCCCAAAUAGAAAAAUUAAUAACUCAAAUAACACUAACGCUGGGCUUUGUCUUUCUCUGCAUUGGACCUAAACGAUAGUUUAAGGCCAGUGAAAUAUGUCAUUCAUCGUUAAACGCUGCAUCUUAUUUUUGUUUAUAUAUAGAUGAAUAGAGACGAGCUAGACUUAACUCUUUUUGGCUGCUUUAUAUGAAUAUGACAACAUAAACCUCACCACAUCAGUUCAUCAAUUAUUGAGACAGCUACAGUAAGACUUCAUGCCUUCAUGGAGACAAUAUUUUUAGAUACAAGCAAUAUAUGCUAUAUAAUUUCAACAAAUUAGUAAAAUUUUAAAAAGAUUUGUGCUCCAUAUAUGGUAUAUUUAUUAGCUGCUUAGAGGAUCGGUGUUUAAAGAGCGGUGGUUGCCAUAUAGCUUUUGCGAUAUGCUGCUGCGCUUGCUGGAAAUAAUAUUGGGCUAACUCCCUCAGCCUUGAGAUGAGGAACCAACAUUUUCAUAGACAACUAGUGAUUCACAUAAAACAUACAAUUGAAAACGAAAUGAUCAGUGUCAAAAGUAUAAUAAAGAUAGCCAAAAAGAGCGUCAAAAUUUUGUUUUCGAAAUAUAAGAGAGCUAUAGAUAUAAUGACUUACACCAAAAAGCCUGAGGCUAUGCCAAAUGCGAAGGGGAUAAGGAAAUGGAGAAAGAAGAUGGCCAAUGGAAUGUAGAGUGAUAGCACAAAGAUGAUAGAUGAGAGAUAGUGGACGAGGAUUCAUGCCGCCGAGUAGAGCCAUCAGACCUGACGUGCGAAACCCGCCACUAGUGAGGUAAUCAUAGCAACCUUGUCUCAUUGCCUCUUUUGCUUCGUCCGUCGAUGCAACUAGUGCUUGAGAAAAUGCGUUUCCUAAUAUGUUCACUGUCGCUGACAUUGGCUUCACCAUACAAAAACAUUCAUUUUUAAGUAUAAUUAUGUGAAGUUGGUAACAAGUUUAGAAAUUUGGAAUGUUCAUAUAUUAAUUAGUAUGUGACGUAGGCUCAC
Molecule: long non-coding RNA, 4810 nt
Filed under: Capsella rubella
Lineage: Eukaryota; Viridiplantae; Streptophyta; Magnoliopsida; Brassicales; Brassicaceae
Description: long non-coding RNA (CRUB_LNC002046)
Source: RNAcentral